GAUAAACGCUGGCGGCGUGCAUGAGACAUGCAAGUCGAACGAAGGAUCGGGCUUGCUCGAUCCUUAGUGGCGGACGGCUGAGUAACGCGUAGGUGACCUACCCCGAAGUGGGGAAUAACUGCCCGAAAGGGUGGCUAAUACCGCAUGUGGUCGCACGUUCAUUCGUGCGAGUAAAGCCGCAAGGCGCUUCGGGAGGGGCCUGCGUCCGAUUAGCCCGUUGGUGGGGUAAUGGCUUACCAAGGCGACGAUCGGUAGGUGGUCUGAGAGGACGAUCACCCAGACUGGGACUGAGACACGGCCCAGACUCCUACGGGAGGCAGCAGUCGGGAAUUUUGCUCAAUGGGGGAAACCCUGAAGCAGCAACGCCGCGUGAGGGAUGAAGGCCUUCGGGUUGUAAACCUCUUUUGUCAGGGACGAUGAUGACGGUACCUGGCGAAUAAGCCACGGCUAACUACGUG
This 458-nucleotide ribosomal RNA is filed under the name uncultured bacterium. RNAcentral's name for it is "partial 16S ribosomal RNA". It matches the Rfam family "Bacterial small subunit ribosomal RNA", at positions 28 to 507 of the family's 1533-position model. The record is from RNAcentral.